Long non-coding RNA from Aquila chrysaetos chrysaetos, 793 nucleotides. RefSeq lists it as uncharacterized. Lineage: Eukaryota; Metazoa; Chordata; Aves; Accipitriformes; Accipitridae. The transcript has 2 exons. The record is from RefSeq and is a predicted model, not a curated record.
UGGCAUGGAAAAUACAGUUCAUCACUAUGACAAUAACUUCCUUGCAAAGACAGCCUUAGAAAGUUGUGGGUGUGCAUAUACAUUCAAUCUUGAGGUAUCUUGAAGAACUAGGGAAGAGAUGAGCACAGCUGCAUAAUUGACAGUGACAGAGAUUGGAAUCAGAUACCUUCACCAUGGACUGAAAGGCAGAGAUGCCAUUCAUGGAUCAGCACUUGGCAGAUGGGGAAGAAAAGAACAUGAAACCAUGCCAUUCUGGAUAAAAUAGAGCCAGGCUUCACCUGGGAGGAAAGCACCAGCCCCAGGACCUGACCUUCUCUAUAUGCAGCUGGAGUUAUUACUCAAUCUGCUCAAUGAAAAAGCUUACCUUGGGAAGUUAUGAACAAUCUUUGGCCAAACAAGCAAGCACUUAUUGUUGUAUGUACAAAUAUUGUGGUCAUAAAGGGUUAAUCCUGAAUCUUUAACUUCAGUUGCGUGUCCAAAACAUCCUAGCAUGUUGUUAUAGAAACCACUUUCAGGCUUUACAUCUUGAAUCAUGAUUAUUACCAUAGUAACCACCACUGCACACAGGUAGAAAAGAAAAAAAGGCGGUUACACAAAUAUUCCAUUUCUAUCAAAAAAGGCAAUUUUGUUUUCAAGUACAUUUGUAUCAGCAAAAACAAGGAAAGUAAAUUAACAACUUAUUUCCUGAAGCAGAAGUAUUGUAUGUUAGCAUAAGAGUAACAUCUGAGUAGCAUUAAAAUUUUUAAAAUGCUGUUUUGGAAACACUUUAAGAUUAAAGCUUCAAAUUACAGAA